RNAcentral lists this long non-coding RNA (350 nucleotides) under Setaria viridis. RNAcentral describes it as "long non-coding RNA (SVIR_LNC000455)". Lineage: Eukaryota; Viridiplantae; Streptophyta; Magnoliopsida; Poales; Poaceae. The record is from RNAcentral.
UUGGGUCAGUCCUAGCACAUGUCUCCACAUGUGUCCACAUUAUUAGUUCAACAUCUCCAUGUCUAUGACUUGUGAAACAUAGUCAUCAACUAAUACAUAUGCUAGUCUAAUAUUCAUGUGUGUCCUCACAUGAACUCCGACUAGGGACAACUUUAGAAUAACCAUACAAGUAAAGAGUUUCACAUACAAUUCACAUAAUUGCAAAUCAAUUCAAGUAGCCUUUAAUGGAUAUUCAAUGAACACAAUAUACAAAUCAUGGAUACAAAUGGAAUAUCAUCAUCUCUAUGAUUGCCUCUAGGGCAUACCUCCAUCAGUCUCCCACUUGCACUAGAGUCAAUCUAGAAGGUACC